RNAcentral lists this ribosomal RNA (253 nucleotides) under uncultured bacterium. RNAcentral describes it as "partial 16S ribosomal RNA". It matches the Rfam family "Bacterial small subunit ribosomal RNA", at positions 524 to 776 of the family's 1533-position model. The record is from RNAcentral.
GACGAACCGUGCAAACGUUGUUCGGAAUCACUGGGCUUAAAGGGCGCGUAGGCGGCCAACCAAGUCAGUGGUGAAAUCCUGCAGCUUAACUGUAGAAGUGCCUUUGAUACUGGUUGGCUCGAGGGAGGUAGGGGUAUGUGGAACUUCUGGUGGAGCGGUGAAAUGCGUUGAUAUCAGAAGGAACGCCGGUGGCGAAAGCGACGUACUGGACCUCUUCUGACGCUGAGGCGCGAAAGCUAGGGUAGCGAACGGG